AUGAGUAAAGCUCUAAGCCCUCGCUAUCAAGGCCUCUCAACCUAUGAGAAGGAGUAUUUAGUGAUCAUAGUGGCAGUGGAUCAAUGGAGGUCGUAUCUUCAGCAUGCUAAAUUUGUGAUUCACAUAGACCAGAGAAGUUUGGUGCACCUCGAAGAGCACCGUCUCACCACCCCAUGGCAACAGAAAGCAUUUACCAAACCCCUAGGCCUCUAG
This 213-nucleotide ribosomal RNA is filed under the name Triticum aestivum (bread wheat). RNAcentral's name for it is "partial small subunit ribosomal RNA". Lineage: Eukaryota; Viridiplantae; Streptophyta; Magnoliopsida; Poales; Poaceae. The record is from RNAcentral.